RNAcentral lists this ribosomal RNA (440 nucleotides) under uncultured bacterium. RNAcentral's name for it is "partial 16S ribosomal RNA". It matches the Rfam family "Bacterial small subunit ribosomal RNA", at positions 338 to 795 of the family's 1533-position model. The record is from RNAcentral.
CCUACGGGCGGCAGCAGUAGGGAAUAUUGCUCAAUGGGGGAAACCCUGAAGCAGCAACGCCGCGUGGAGGAUGAAGGUUUUCGGAUUGUAAAAUCCUUUUGUUAGAGAAGAUAAUGACGGUAUCUAACGAAUAAGCACCGGCUAACUCCGUGCCAGCAGCCGCGGUAAUACGGAGGGUGCAAGCGUUACUCGGAAUCACUGGGCGUAAAGGGCGCGUAGGCGGGAUAGCAAGUCAGAUGUGAAAUCCUAUGGCUUAACCAUAGAACUGCAUUUGAAACUGUUAUUCUAGAGUAUGGGAGAGGUAGGUGGAAUUCGUGGUGUAGGGGUAAAAUCCGUAGAGAUCAAGAGGAAUACUCAUUGCGAAGGCGACCUGCUAGAACAUAACUGACGCUGAUGCGCGAAAGCGUGGGGAGCAAACAGGAUUAGAUACCCCUGUAGUC